AGUGAACGCUGGCGGUAGGCCUAACACAUGCAAGUCGAACGGCAGCACAGUAAGAGCUUGCUCUUACGGGUGGCGAGUGGCGGACGGGUGAGGAAUACAUCGGAAUCUACUUUUUCGUGGGGGCUAACGUAGGGACACUUACGCUAAUACCGCAUACGACCUACGGGUGAAAGCAGGGGAUCUUCGGACCUUGCGCGAUUGAAUGAGCCGAUGUCGGAUUAGCUAGUUGGCGGGGUAAAGGCCCACCAAGGCGACGAUCCGUAGCUGGUCUGAGAGGAUGAUCAGCCACACUGGAACUGAGACACGGUCCAGACUCCUACGGGAGGCAGCAGUGGGGAAUAUUGGACAAUGGGCGCAAGCCUGAUCCAGCCAUACCGCGUGGGUGAAGAAGGCCUUCGGGUUGUAAAGCCCUUUUGUUGGGAAAGAAAAGCAGCAGGUUAAUACCCCGCUGUUCUGACGGUACCCAAAGAAUAAGCACCGGCUAACUUCGUG
RNAcentral lists this ribosomal RNA (492 nucleotides) under uncultured bacterium. RNAcentral describes it as "partial 16S ribosomal RNA". It matches the Rfam family "Bacterial small subunit ribosomal RNA", at positions 29 to 507 of the family's 1533-position model. The record is from RNAcentral.